Dermochelys coriacea (leatherback sea turtle) is the source of this 11313-nucleotide long non-coding RNA. RefSeq lists it as uncharacterized. The record is from RefSeq and is a predicted model, not a curated record. NCBI's taxonomy places the organism in Eukaryota, Metazoa, Chordata, Testudines, Dermochelyidae. The transcript has 3 exons.
GAUGAGAAAGAUAAACGUAUUAAUCACACACUAGUGUCUGCUGGAUAGUAAAGUAACAGUCGCUCCAGUGAGACAUGCCUCACAGGCAUCUCAUAUAAUCUGCUCAUUUAACCAUUCCCAGCCCCUCUCUCCCCUGAUGUGCAGUCACCCACUGUCUCUUGCAAAGAGAAAAGCCCAUCUCCUGAAAUAAGAGGAAUUUGUUUUUUAGCUGGUAACUAGUGAGUCCUGAAGUCACACAACCCCCUUGCUCCCUGAGUCACAUUAAUCACUGCAGCCACAGGCUUGUGUCUAUUUUUCUGCCUAUUUGUCAUAAUUUGGAGAAGGGAAAAUAAGGAAACUAGAGGCCCCUGGCAGGAACACAAUGCAGAGACUGAGCAGAAGAGUGGUGUCUGUCUCUGUGGAUUCAGUGAUAUCACUCAGUGAGUAGAGAAGGUGCGGGCAAGGUCUUUCUCAUUGGUGAGGGUCGUAUACUGUCUCUUGAGGCUCAACAGUUCAUUGCAUCAGCAGCAAGGUAGUUUAUGAAAUGUUGCCAUUUACCUUAAUACCACUUCCGUCUCUUGCGCUCACACAAUAUUUUGCAAGCUUUGUUAUACAUGUUCUCUCACUUGUCUUACCAUUCAGAACUACAGUUCAGAACAGAGCUAAAUGGCUCCCCAUUACAAGAAGCAGCGAGCACAAAGACCUAUUAAUCAGAGCCUAUUCAGAUAAUCCUAGUUUACCCUCUUCUUUCUCUGUUGUUACUUGCUUCCAGGAACAACGAGGUUAUCCUCUUUCCCUUUUUUUCUUCCAAUCCUCCCAGUGAGGAAGAGAAGAACUUAAAAAAUGAAUCUGCUUGUUACUGUAGCUAGUUCCUCUUUUAAACUGGAGACUCUCAGACACAGGGUUCUGUUCCCAGGCCGUAUCACCUCCCUCAAAUUGUCUGCAGUAUGGGGUCCAUGCUGGUUUCUGGUCUCCUCGUAGUGUGCCUUUUGGGGAGCAGGUGCUGGCUGGCUGAAAUAGCAGCCAUGUUUCUGUCUUGCUCCAGAAUCCCAUGCUCUGAUUUUAUCAAAAGGGAUGGAGAAUCUUAUCACUAGUCUCCAGAAUACCUUUGGACGGGAGAUCUCAGCUGGAGAGUCCACGGCUGGCUGCUAUUUUCCUUUAUUUACAUGGAGAGGAGAAAUGUAAAUUUAGCUAAACAAUAGCCCCUAGCAUUGCAGUGUAAAAGUGCAGAGUCAUUUUAGAGGAAGUAACGAGAGAUUUUUUUCUGUGUCUAAUUUGUCUGUCCUACAGUGGGUUGGCAUUCCACUUUACAGAGCACAUGUGGUAGAGGUUGUUAAUGCUUGUUAACCAUUCACUCUGCCUUCAUAGCUUGUUAGCCAUUCACUCCUCAGUCUGACCAUUCCAAUAUGGUCACUUCACAGGUGGUCAGGAAGUUGCAGCAUGGACAUCCUAGCAGUCCAGCUAGUCAGAAGCUUUACUUUGACACCAGUCAUGUUAGGACAUGUAUGUCCACUUUCUCUGUAGGUGCAGUACCAAUGGCUGAGAGGUUAGUACCUCUUCCUUGCUUCUAGAACUAAGAUACCGUAGCAGCAUUGGGUUUUUUAAAAGGUAUCAAACUCUUUUAUGAGAGGACAAGGGGGAAUUUGGUUCAAAGACAUAAUCCCAUGUUUGGGAUUUUUAUCGGUUGGUAUUUGAAAAAAAAAUCUGUGGAUUCUAUACCUUAUUCUCUUAAGCACUCAUUUUCUUUUUUGAUGAAAGACCUUUUUAAAUACCUCAGCAGUAGGUCCAAACAUCAAUUAUUUCUACUAGCCAGAGGUCUGGUAGGAAGUUAUUGCAUAGGAUCUUACUCUUAGCCUUGCUGGGUACAUCUCCACUGCAAUAAAAGACCUGCAACGCAGUCACGGCUGGCCCUGGUCAGCUGAUUCAGGGUCAUGGGGCUCGGGCUAGGAGGCUAUAAAAUUGCAAUGUAGACGUUCAGGCUUGGGCUGGAGCAUGGGCUCUAAGACCCCAAUGAUGGGGCUGGGUCUCUGAGCCAAGCCCAAAUGUCUACAUUCCAACUUUUAGCCCCGCAGCGUGAGCCCAAGUCAGCUGACCGAGGCUCUGAGACUCUGUGCCGCAGGUUUUUUAUUGCAGUGUAGGCAUACCCGUAGGCUACCAAGAGUAUUCUGUUUAGGGGAUGUCCCCUGGAUGUAUUUUUAUCGUAUUAGAAUAUGGUAUUUGUCUCUUCCUAUCCUAAACUGUUGUGUAGUGUUUUAUGUGCCAUUAAAUAGUUGCCAAAUUCCACCCUAGAGGUGGCUGCUUCAGUGGUGGGGUAAAGUUGUGAAAAUAAUAGUUUGUAAGUACAUCCUUCAGAAUCAAAGUAGUACUUAUCAAAUAGUAUAUAUAUUUAUAAACUCUUCCUUUUACUUAAAGCUUGAAACCUUUCCUCUCGUUUUUAGGGUGUCACUUUUUACUAUCUAAACAGCAGCAAUUUGUGGGAGACCUCAUGACAGAAGAAAAGCCAUCCAUCACACACUUUUUCUCUCCCCAGGACUAACAUCCACUCGUUUACUCCGCAGGAGAGAAGUAGAUACAGUUUGACAAAUGUUGGUAUUUGUGUUUAAAUUUUCCUUUUUGCCAUCUCCUGUGGCCUGUGCAGAUGUACACACACAAGUCAAAGCGCCUGGUUGUGUGAAGGAACUUGCCCAUGUGCAACGCUCCACUUAUUAGUUUCCUUUGACACUGAGUUAGUGUAAUAGCCGACACUCAGUCAGUUUUAUUACUUGUGUAUAUAAAACGUGGGUCAUGUUCCAGAUUAAAGAUGGAAGUGUGCGAGCUAGACGCCUGUACUAAAGAGACAGGAGUUGUGGUUCAUCUCAAUAUUGAAUAAUAAGCAAGAGACAGGAAGUAUUUGUCAUAAAUCUUGACGUGCAUGGGGUUGUUCCUCCCUUAUCCUACCCCAGUAUUCAAUUUUCAUCCUGGCAUUGCCAGGCACUCGCUCCUCUUCACUCAGCAGUUAAGAGAAGCUUUUUCAUUAUGUUCUCUGGAAGGCACUUUAUAGAGAAGUACGUCCCCCUCUGCCUCAUAAAUCCACUUUAUAUUUCAAGCUUGCGACAUGGGGAUCAGAGAUCUUGGCAAGAAGCAAUUAUUAUAAAGAACCAGUUCUCCCUCUUUUAGGUUACAAAGAGAAUGUUAUGGGGAAAGGGAAUUUAGCUGAAGACAAGGAGAGGUCAUUUUAGUGAAAGGCAGUGUUCCCUGAUUGAUUGACAACCACACAGCCUUAUUAAUGCUCGGUCGUUAAAUGUCCCGUAGGGCAUGGCAGCAUGAUGUCACAGGCUAGCAAAAGCUGCUGGUUGCUACAAAAAUUAACAAACAAAAGCAAUAGACUGAAAGUGGAAUAAACUCAUAAAUAUUUCCAGGCACAACCACAUCUUCUGGGCAAAUUUGGGGGGUGGUGUUCUUUUUAAUAUUUCUAUCAUUUUAAAUGAACAGUCUGUAAUUACAGUGAUUUGUUAGCUACCUGGGGACCUGAUAUUUGGGCAGGGUGUAAUGCUUAGGAGAGAUUGAUUAGUGAAGCAUAAUUAAAUUGGGGGAUUUUGAUAAUGAUAUCGCCACCCAAGAGAGCCAAGUCUGAGCAAUUAUACAGAUCCUCAGAGCCCUCCUGAUUGAAUUGUAUAACUUCAGCAGUCAGUCUCCCCAUCAAACCCCCUUCUUCCCACCCCACCACCACCACCUGUGUGUCUCCAUCCUUUCAGCUUUGAAGAGAUCUUCUAGAAGCCUGUUGAAAGGGGAAAGGAUACUUUCAAGAAUUACCCUCUCUACAGGUAGUCCCAGGGUACAGACACUAAGGAGAAGGCUGUAGUGCACCAACUCCACAAAGAAAAAUGUGAGCAUCAAAUCCUAUCUCCUCUCCAUCCCACCCUGCCCUGGCCUGAAUUUACAUCAGCCCUAGCUUUGAAGGAGGAAUUGAAUGUAGUGUUUUUAGCUGAGCAGUCAGACUUUGCAAAUACCUUUAUUUAUGUGUGUUCCUUUGGGAGUGUGCGUGCGUGCGUGCAACCAGACUCUUAUACGUGAGCUUUGUUUUCAAUGUGUACUCUUUGCUGGGCAUUGGACCCCGAGAACAGGCUUAGGGCCCUCUCUGAGGCUGUACUGCCUCUCUCUGACAGCUGCGUGUGGACACUAGGCCUUUGACAUUUAGAAAAAUCUCAGAAUCUAAAGCAAGAGGCAGGAAAAAAAUAUUUUCUUGUUUAAAGGUCAGAACCGACUGCUUUAAAAAAUGGUUUUAAAAUUGGUUUGUUGGACUGUGACAAGAUUUAACCAUACUAAUGGAUGGAGAGAAUAUUUGAUCUGGGUUAGGCAGAAAAAGAGAAGCCCUCCAGCAGACUGGCUGAGGAAGCUAUAAAAAUUAAGUGAGGCAAACUAAAGAACUUGAAUUAGGGGGUGGGGUUUAUGGCAGACAGGAGAGCAGGUGUCAUGUCCAGCUAGGGAGCUGGCAUGCAGAUUGCGCAGUGGGCUAUGAUAACACUGCUGAGUGAUGCGGUAUUAGGUGGAGUAAGAACAUUGCAGAGUUCCUAAGAGAUGCCCAGGUCGGUGCCAGAGGGGUUUUAUAAAGUGAAAAGAGUGCCACAGAGCCCUGAUUAAAGGAGGGUAGGUAGUGUGGGGUUCCCUGGCUUAGAGACAACAGAACUGGGGCCUUGAUGUAUGAAAGGUAAUGCAGCAGGAGGUUCCAUCUUGUGAGGAGUGUGAUGCAGGAGCAGGAGGAUCACUGCAGAUAUGCAAAGUUCAUGCAGUGAAUAAAAACGCCUUUGGAGCAAGGAGGUAUCAGCAGAUGAGUAAGGUACUAGGAGGUGAGGAGAGCAGUGCAGGUGUCUUGGUGGAUGAGUCCAUAGCACAAAAAGAAAAGUGUCAUGGGCUGAAGAGAACGGUAUGGAGACUGUCACAGAGCCAUCGGUAUUAGGCUUCACAGUCCUGCCCCCUACCACAUACAGGAUUGUUCCCUGCAGUGUAUUCAGGGUCUUAGUGUGUUAGGAGGUUGCACAGCAGGUGGUUCCAUAGAGUGAGAAGAGUAAUGCAGACAUCUUAGCAGAUGAGAUGGAGCUGCCUCCGUAGCUUCCCUGAGUAAAUGUCACUGGGGCAACAGGUUACUUGUUCAUUAAAACACCUAAUAAAACGUAGCCUUGAAAAUAAAGGCACCCCAUUCACUUUGUAGUAUUGCAGAGUUUCAUCUGCACAAUAAUAAAGUUCCUCACUGUGUCAAGGGGUUGGAGAGUCACUCUGCCAAUCCAGUUCAAGUAGCACAUCCUCUUAGGCCUUAACCCUUUAUAUGAAAACCGUCAUACUGUGAGGACCCUGCAGACACGGGCGUCUGAAUGCUCAGAAGUGUGUUCCUCCUACAUCGUGCAUCUAUUUCAUUCAUCACCCGUGGACAGAGCAGUGGAUUUUCAUAUGAAAAGGAGGAGAUUACCCCACUUUGUGGUGAAAUCCUGGAUUGUAUCAAACAUCAUGUUGGGAUUUUCUCCUCUUCUCCUUUUCCCCCACCCUUGUUCUCUCCCGCUGCUGCUUCCCACAGCCAACCUUCUUCUGGGACUUCUGUAGCCCAGCUUCCCUCUCCCCUUCCUCCCUCUCUUCACAGCACUCCAGGGGUGCAGCGGAGGCAGAGGGCAGUGAUGUGUUUAAGGGACAUUCAUUUGUCAGACUUGUCCACUCCAAGGUGGGAAACUGAGGCAGGGGACACUGCCCAACACACUAGGGGGUUGGGUUUGUUUAUGGACGCAAGCUUUGAAAUGUGCUUGUGGCGUUUGCCCAAACAAUGCUUGGUUCCCUUUCCCAUGUGUUGGCCAACAUUCUGUCACUGUGUCUGAGCCAUGUGUUGUCACCGCCAGCUGGUUGGUCUACUAAGAACUGAUGACAGUUCAUGCCAAGUUUCAGUUUAUAGAUUUUUGUACAUUAUUUUAAUUUUCUAGUUGCAAAAGUGUUCCUGGGGGCAGAGGGCAUGUGAAUUGCUGCCCCUGUCUCACGCAUCCAUCGAACCAUUUGAGAAUGUUAUCAAACCUUUAACAUCAUCAUCACCAGGCUGGAGAGAGAAAUUUCAGCCCAGAAGAUUACUUUUUUGAAAAGUUUAUAAGUAACACAGGCUGAGACAGAAAGUGUAAUCUCAACCAUACCUAUAGCAACACUAGCACAGUCUGAACGCACGUAUAUGUCCUGCUGAAGUGACACUGACGAGUGAUCCUCUUUUGUACUUCACACAUCUCUGCAGAACUUACAAACACCAGCAUGGUCCUUGCAACUGCCAGGAGUGACCUCCUAACAAGGACAGGUUUCAGAGUAGCAGCCGUGUUAGUCUGUAUCCGCAAAAAGAAAAGGAGUACUUGUGGCACCUUAGAGACUAACAAAUUUGUUAGUCUCUAAGGUGCCACAAGUAUUCCUUUUCUUUCUCCUAACAAGGAGAUGCUUUACUUUUUGCAACAUCUAGUGUCCGUAGGUGUUGUGAGCAUAGUCUGCUUUAGACUAUGAUUGUGCCAUGCGUGAGAGUGAUCCCUGCUGGAGGUGAGAGGAGCUAAUGUUUGUUUUCCUGUGAUGCUCACGAUUACAGAGAGACUCUUAGCCUCUCUGUAAGUGCUGCAAUUGAAUGCAUUCAAGUAUUUCUCUUUUUCCAGGCCUGCAGCAAGACUGAUCAUCCUGGCAUUCAUGAGAGGAGAGGGGUGGGUGAGGCUACUCUGCUCCUACCCUUCUCCACUUUCUGUGCCUUUCCUCACACCAAAAUAAAUCUGCAGCUAGAUACACAGAUAUUGACUGACGUGUUUGACUGCAGAUGGAACGAGCAGAGUGUGAGACAAAUAGAAAGUUUAUCCUGUGACCGAAAGGGAGCCAGCAGCUCCCUCGCUGGGCUGCUCACCUCUCUCGGGCAUUCACUUUCCAUGAUUAGCUUUAUAUCCCACUCAAGCCUUCAUCUCCUGCACAGACAGAUAAAUAGAGUGGAACAAAUGGAAUGGGCACACACGUUCUAAGGUACCUGGUUCUCUUAAAGGACUGAGUGCUGACACAAGGCUUUAUCUGUAAUACAAGUCUCUGCCUUCAAAAAAAAAAAUAUAAAAAACUAUAAAGCCUUAAAUAAUUUACCAAUUUCCAGGGUUAAAAGGAAGAUUUAUGAUGUUUUCUUCUGACUGGGAAGUGCUAAUCUUGUCUCUUAUGGAAAAGCAAUUGUACUAAAGACUCCUUUCUCUGAGGAGGUUGAAAAGCGACUGCUGGAAGUUCAUGUCGCCGCAUAGUAGACCGAUCCCACUUGUCCCGUAAAUACAACAUGGCCAAAAAGCUGCUUCUGAUUUUGUAAUCGCUCAACAGGGCAAUGCACCCUAGAAGUACAAAGCACAGUGGGGUUCUAGCCUGGAUCAUGUACAUACCAGUACGUAGUAAUAGAGAGUGUUUUGCCCCAUUUAAAUUGCUUUUCUGAUAAAGAUCCUUUAUAUUUCUGAAAGCAGAAUGGAGUGCUAAUGGAAACAGGCCAAAACUGGAAUGUCUGUUCCCCAAAAUGUUGGUGAGUUGGAUAAAAUAGAAACUGGAUCUGAACUGCCUUGGCUUUGGUUUUGCAAACCCCAAACCAAACCACCUUGAUUUGCCCAUUAACUAGAAUUGACAAAACUAGGCCCAUAACUUGGGUAUCGUCUUUGACUCAGCCCUUUCAGUGGACCCACAUAUUCAGUCCAACUCUAAGUCAUGCUUCUUUUCCUUACACAUCUCUAAAAGUAACAACAUGCUAACCAUGUGACUGUGAAUAAAACAUUUUCAUGGUUUUGGUCCCAGAUUAAAUUGAGCUAAUUUUUAAAAACACAUUAGACAUUUUUUUCCUCCCACGUGCCAUCACUAUUGAGCAGAUUUAAGGUUCUUUAGGUGCCCUAACUAUGCAUUUCCUUACCGGAUCAUAUUUGGCCUUUUUUUUUUUUAAGCUUGGCUUUAACUAUGAAUCUCCUGGCUUUUUAAUGAUUGAUUUGAUGAUAAGUACAUUCCUGUAAUGUAUUUUACCCUAAAUUACUAACGUGUACUCUCAACUUUAACUCUAGCAUAACAGUGUUUUUUGUUUGGCAAUUUCCUUGUUUGUCUAGGGUUUUUUUAGUACAUAAUAGCGUACACGAACACUAAAUAAGAAAUGCAAAGAGAAUGUCAUGAUAUUUCUUGUGAUUUGAAAAUAUAAACCAUCAACUUUAAUUCAUUUUUUAAUUUCAACUUUUAUGGCCAGAUUCAUUGGUACACUCUGGCUGCUUUAUGUCACCCUAGGGCAGUACAGAAGCAACCAAAGUGUACUGGCAAGUUAAGCCGAUGGGCAAACUGCUUUGAUUCACCAGAAGGACCAGAGCACCAGAAAGAAGUAAGAGUGUUCACCACAAUUUCUUCUUUCCUCUUGGUCUCCAAAUUCCUUCUGCCUCUUGCAAUUCCCCUCAUGGUCCUGCACACAUGUCCCAGUUUUUCUCUCUCUCCUUCCCCGCACAGUCCCCUGUACAUACACACUCCAGUUUCCUCACUCUCUACAUUUUCCAGGAUUCACACCCUGGUUUCUUCCUCCUUCCUGUGGUGCGUGGAGCAGAUUUGGUGCAAAGACUAGCAGCUGAAAAGAAAUAUUUAGAAUUAAUAUGGUCACUUUUUUCCAUUAUUUUUCAUAAAUGAAAAUUUGUGUUAGCAGAGGUGAGUAGGUAAAACUUUCUCCUCCUUUUCUCCCAUUGGUCUCAUAAAGACUGAAGUUAUAAACUGAGCAUUGUUAAAUUUCUUUCUUUAAAAGCAGGUACCAUCUCCUAUUGUUCCAAUGAGAAUGAAGUCAGGCUACCAUCAGGGAAGAUGGUGUCCCUCUAUGUUGUCAGGAGGCCGAGGAACCCUCAGUCUUGUUGAAAACAGUCAGAGAUGAUGGCCAUUUUGAAAAAAUGCAGCUCUUCAUGGAAUUUUCUGUCAUAGAACAUAUUAUUCAGCCUCUGCUGAAUCAGAAAUUUUCAGAAUAAUGGGGGGCAAAUGACAAUUAAUCUUCAAUAAAUAAACAAGUAUUCCAAUGUAGUCUACGCACAAGAUUUCACUGAGUUCUAACUAUACAGAGUUUUGAAGCAUUUGGGUAAUUCCAUUACUGAGAUCAUAAGGAACAAAUAAAUCGUCUGACGGUGGGUGCUAAACUUCUUAAAGAACCCUUUUAAAAUUAAUUUAAAGUCCUACAUGGAUUUCCUUGUAAAUUCUCAGAAAAUUAAUUCUGUGCCCAAAGAAUAAGGGCAAUAAUUUGAGGGAGGAGACACUGUAUUUUUCAUACAUAGCAAAGAGAAUUGCAAAAUUCAACUCAGCCUUGACUAUGAAGAGACAACUGGUGCCUCCAUAAUAUUUGGACUGUCCUCUCACCAGCCUAAACUUUAGUGUUUCAGGUCACAUAGAAUCAGAUCCAACACCCAUGGGCUUGGAUUUGAAAACCAAAAUCUGGCUGCCUUGGCACAUCUCUGAUUGAUAGCAUCUGGCCUAUAGUCUAAUUCAAGGCUGUAUGAGAGCUCCACACUCUGCCGGGACUUGUGCAUAGAUUGCAAAUGCAUAUCCCUCACUGACCUAAUUCCCUUUCUGUCUGUCAUUUGCCACUUUUUCAUCUUUCCCAGUCAGUCUCUUCAAUUUGUCCCUAUCUGACCCAGUUUCACGAUGGAUGCUCAGAAAGCAAGACGGCUGACUCCACUAAACAAAAGAUUAAGGCUCUAAACUUCACCAUCUGGAGUAGUUCAUAAAGAGAAAUGAACAUUAAGCUGAACAGAAGUGGAAGAGCUUUAAACAAACUCUUAAUUUACUUUUCCACUGUAAAAUCUUGUUAAAAUCCCCUCCCCGGCAUUGGUGUGACAGCGGCUUCCUCUGUGCCUUGCACUCUUCACAAUCAGAAGUGACAUUUACAUGAGAAGUUCAUAAUGAAAUUAAUCAUGACUCCUAAAAACAUGAAAUUGGAAACAAACAGAUCCCCGGGGCCUUUGGUGCUUCCCUGACAUUAUUGCUGCCCUUCUGGCAGGUGAAGAUACAUGCUGUCUGCGUGCAGAAACACCCACAGCUGAAGUCAUCGAUAUCCCUUUUGGGAGAGGGCAGUUCCACCUGAGCUGCUUCAGGGUUUCCCUUCUGCAUAGACUGUGGAUAGGGAGUGUCCUGUUGCUGAGGCAGGCUGGACUCUGUGAGGCAGUGCUUGUGUUGCCUCUAGCUUUGCUUCAUUAAGGGGGCAGAUGAGGAGCAGUGAUCAUUCCCAAAAGAGAAAUGUCUGGGGAGAAAAAUGUGAAUUUCCGUUGUGAUAGUUUUGCUGGUUUAUUAAUAAACAAGCAGAUUUUGUGCCACCCGUGGCAUGAGGGACUUUCAAAGCAUCCUUUGGCUCCUCUUGCAUUUUGCUUCUUUACCCUUUUUAUAAUCUAUGUUAUGACGAGAGGAGAAUUUUACCAUGUGCCCGUAUAUUGGGAUUCCACCCUUCUGUGUGUGUGUCUGGAAUAAUUUCUUCCAUCAGCAAAGCACCUGGGUAUAUGAAGCAGGGUUGGUAAAACACAUCCCCGUGUGUCUAUACUGUGAUAAAUAACUCACUGCACCAAGUCUCAGAGCCCAGGUGCUUGGGUUGCAGGGCUAUAAAAUUGCAGCAUAAACGUUCGGGCUCAGGCUGGAGUCCAGGCUCUGAGACCGCACUAGUUGGGAGAGGGUCUCAGAGCACGGGCUCGAGCCCAAAUCCGCAUGUAGAUACUGCAAUUUUAUAGCUCCAGAGCCUGAGCCAGCUGACCCAGGCCAGCUACAGCCAUGCUCUGGGUCUUUUAUCGCAGUGUAGACAUAUGCAAACUAAGGGGGCUAGUUAAAGGUAGAUCAUUGGCUCAUUUAAAGGGAAGGUUCAUUGAAAACAUGUCUCCUUAUCCUCCAAGAGAGGAGGGACUUAAGGACUUUGAUUCUUAAUGGAGAAAGAGCUUUUUGCAUAUUUCCUGCCUCCCACGACCAGGCUAUUCAAAGAUUUCUCUUCUAAAGCAUCCCUGGUUCUGCAUUUUCUACUGUGACUGCAUGUGUUAAUUGUUCAAACCCUUUAAAGUUUGUUUUCAAGAUAUUUUAAACAUUCUUCCUACUACCUUAUAAUUCAUUAUUCAUUUGAGGCUCACACGGGGUGUAUUGUUCAGAGAUUUUGGAAAUGCAGAACUUAAUAAUGGUCCAAUUAAAUCAUAUGUUGAACACGUGCUCUGCAGUAGAUAACGUUACUUUGAUUAGAAUAAGAUGCAUACUGAAGGAGACUCCAUAGUGAGAGUGCUAGAAUUCUUCAGCAUUUGGAGUGAAAUAAAACCCUACUGUAUUAACAAUUUCUUUUCCUUUUCCCCUUCCUCCCCUCAUUUCUCUCUUCUCUAC